CGCCUCCUCUUUCACCGUCCGUCUCCUCCGCCCGCGUCGCCUUCUUCGGCCCCCUCUGUCGCCGUCCGCCUCCCCCGCCCUCGCCGCCUCCUUUGACGCCAUUCUGGGCCUCCCGUUCACCUCUAUCGUCGCCUCCGUCGCCCGUCCAUCUCCCUCGCCGCGUUCAUCGCCUCCAGCGCCCUCGCGGCCCUCUGCCCCAUCCACCUUCUCUACCUCCAGCGACCUGUGGCGGCUGCGGCGUACGUGCUCGGCGCCUCGGCAAGGGCGGCGGAUCCACGAUGUGCUGCUUGUAUGGCAGUCCGGCGGAGGAGAGGCUGAUGAUGCAACGUCGCCCUCAUCUUGAUGUUGCCGUUGAUUGUUCAUCCCAUCUCUUCGGCUGCUACUGGUUCGAGAACAGAAAUAGUUCCACUCCCUGUGCUACAUCACAUAAGUCAAAUUUCAGAAGAUACUACUAGUUUAUAGUGGUUACGGCCAGCAUGGAACAGUUAAGCCAUGCAGUGGAGCUCCAAUGGUGAGUUUGCCUUUCAUUGUCUUGUUGGAGAUUGCACGUUGGAAUUACUGGCAAAAGUCAUGCUUCUUGCAUUCAAGAGUUGUAUCCUGUUCUGCGAGUAUGAUCUAGCAGCAUGGUAUGGGGCUGAUAUUUUAUAAAGGACAAC
Long non-coding RNA from Oryza sativa Japonica Group (Japanese rice), 656 nucleotides. RefSeq lists it as uncharacterized. Lineage: Eukaryota; Viridiplantae; Streptophyta; Magnoliopsida; Poales; Poaceae. The record is from RefSeq and is a predicted model, not a curated record.